GACAGAGGGUGCAAACGUUGUUCGGAAUUACUGGGCGUAAAGCGCGUGUAGGCGGCCCUGUAAGUCGGGUGUGAAAUCCCACGGCUCAACCGUGGAAGUGCAUUCGAAACUACAGAGCUGGAGUCCUGGAGAGGAAGGCGGAAUUCUCGGUGUAGAGGUGAAAUUCGUAGAUAUCGAGAGGAACACCGGUGGCGAAGGCGGCCUUCUGGACAGUGACUGACGCUGAGGUGCGAAAGCGUGGGGAGCAAACAGG
Molecule: ribosomal RNA, 253 nt
Filed under: uncultured bacterium
Lineage: Bacteria
Description: partial 16S ribosomal RNA
Rfam family: Bacterial small subunit ribosomal RNA
Source: RNAcentral